Molecule: long non-coding RNA, 3016 nt
Filed under: Bos indicus x Bos taurus (hybrid cattle)
Lineage: Eukaryota; Metazoa; Chordata; Mammalia; Artiodactyla; Bovidae
Description: lncRNA (ENSBIXG00005025343.1)
Source: RNAcentral
AUGCAACUUAGGGACAGAACACCACCACCACCACCUAGAGGAGGCAGGUGCUGCUUGCUUCCCCUUUUGGUCCUGCUUACAAGUAUGAACCCUGCUACUAAUAUGAACCCAGCAGUUCCUGGAAGAGGGUCCCUGCUCACUUCAGGUCUUCUUAGUCAAAGUGCCUUCACAUCUCUCCGAACGUCAGCUUCCCUAAAUGAAAAAGGUUUGAGAGUGUCACUUUACCGUGCUAUCUCAAUCUGUCCUCAGCCUGUCACAGGCCCAGGCAUAGAAUGCUGGUCUAGGGGCGCUUUUCUUCUGGGAGCUGGCGGGUUCGACACACAGAGCCCUGGCCCCAAGACCCUCAGUGCCCGCGAUGAUUCUGGGUCUUGCCGUAUCGUGGACUACAACUCCCAGCAUACUCCAGCCCCGCCCUCAUCCUGCCAGGUCUCGCGUGAAGUGACGCCGCCUCGGGAGAGUUUAUCAGGGAGGCUGCCGGCGGCUGGUAUCCUGUUCUCCCUCCCAGGUUGGCGUCUGGGACCUUCUGUGUCGUUACAGGCACAGCGCCGCUCACACCAUGGCUUGGAUCCGGACUGCGCAACAACCUUUCGAGAGACGUGGGUCUUUGGAGCCUCUUUAGUCCCAGGCCGCAGGCAGCUCCGCGGCGGCGGCGGACGGAAAGUAUCUCUUUUUAGGUUGUUAUGGCAAAGACAUGAAACACAGGGAGAUGUUUGGCAGACUCUGCAGGGCUGUGCCAACGCUGGUUGUUUGUUGUUCUCAGAACCUCUGGGAUGGAUGGACUCUUCCUGAGCAGCUUUGCUAAUUUGCAGCAGCUGGACGAUGUUCCUCAUUAAUACCUGCCUGUAGGCAUAAUCGUCACAUCAUCUCUCUCUGGUGGCGGGGAACUCAGCUCAAAGUCUGUGUAGGAAAAGCGCCUGGAUCCCAGUCUUUCAAUGGCUUCGAGACAACCAGAAGUGCCUGCUCUUGAGCCUAGUGGGCCUCUAGGCAAGAUGUCCCUGCCCAUCGGGAUGUACCGCCGGGCAUUCAGCUAUGAUGAUGCCCUCGAGGACCCUACGCCCAUGACUCCUCCUCCAUCGGACAUGGGCAGCAUCCCUUGGAAGCCAGUGAUUCCAGAGCGCAAGUAUCAGGACCUCGCCAAGGUGGAGGAGGGAGAGCCCAGCGUCUCCCCGCCUGCCCCGGCCCCGCCGCCGGCCACUGACAGUGCAGAGAAGGCCCCUGUGGUGAAGGCCAAAGCGACCCAUGUCAUCAUGAGCUCUUUGAUCACAAAACAGACCCAGGAGAGCAUUCAGCGUUUUGAGCAACAGGCAGGGCUGCGAGAUGCUGGCUACACCCCCCACAAGGGCCUUACCACUGAGGAGACCAAGUAUCUUCGAGUGGCGGAAGCACUCCACAAACUAAAGCUCCAGAGUGGAGAGACAGCAAGAGAGGAGAGGCAGCCGGCGUCCACGCAGUCCACCCCGAGCAGCAGCCCCCAGGCCUCCCCUAAGCAGAAGAGCAGAGGCUGGUUCACUUCUGGUUCUGCCACAGCCUUACCUGGCCCCAGCCUUAGCACCAUGGAUUCUGGAAGCGGGGAUAAAGACAGAAGCUCGGCCGAUAAAUGGAGCCUCUUUGGACCAAGAUCCCUCCAGAAGUCUGAGUCAGGAGGCUUUGCCAUCCAAGCCUACAAAGGAGCCCAGAAACCUUCUCCAAUGGAAGUGAUGCGCGCACAAGCCACCCGAAGGGCGGAGGAGCCAGCAACGUUCAAGCCGCCCAAGAUGGAUAUCCCAGUUAUGGAAGGGACGAAACAGCUGCCACGGGCCCACAGCCUCAAACCCCGGGACUUGAAUGUUCUCACACCCACUGGCUUCUAGAGCUUUCUGUCCUGGGGACUCUGCAUCAAGGGUAUCGAGCCCAGCUCCCUUUACCUUGGCUCUGACAUAGGAAAAGUUUUGUCUUUGUGAAAUCAAACUGAGGCUAGAUGGAGACAUAAUUGGUUUUUGCGAAACAUUAGUGCAAAGCUUGUCCUUGUGUGGAAAAGCCGUUUUGUAUUGCUUUAACGUUAGACUAAACUUGAGCAGUGGUAUAUGGGGACCUCCCCAAAACUUGGACCACUGCUUACUAGGUGACUGUCUGCGUUGUUCCAAAACCAAGGCUUCAGGAUUCCUUCACCGUGUCCAGGUGCGCAUGGGGACCAUGGCGUGGGGAUGUCCGCGGACUAAUACAGGUGACUUCGGCCCUCACAGCUGUGCUGGCGCCGGUCUGGUCAGUCAGGGAACCCAAGGCCUGCUUGAGAUCUGGGUACAGCUAGGAGCCAGCCCCGGCAGGGACCCCCGGUUUGUGCUGGCACCGGCGUCUCCUCACGUCCUGGGGGACCUCGUGGGCCCCUGUGUCCCACAGCCAGCCCUUGCUGUGGUACCUCUGGGGCCUGUGCUGUGGGAGGGGUGCUUCUCUUCUGCGUGUCACAGAACAAACACUAGUCUUAACACAGCCUUUGUUGCACUGUAAAGUGACAUUAAUUUAGCUUCCAUUUGGUUGAAAACUUCCUAAAGGAGAAAAUUCAGUCUACUGGCUUGCUAUAGAUAAAUGGAUGUUAAACUUUUUAAAAGAGGUGGCAACUGCAGUUCGAAUAUAGUCUGGAGGUUCAUGUGAAACUAGUGUCACUCUAUUUUGAUUUUCUUGUUCAGGCUAGGGCUUGAAAAUGUUUUUCCUGGGAGGCAGGAGAAUUAAAAAAUUUCUGUAUGCAAUCAUUUUCCCCUCAAAUGAGCCUCCUACCUCUGUACACAUACCUCGCUGAGGAGAGGAACCGGGGAGGCCACUCUCAUUUCUCUUCACUGCACACGUGCAGCCACCGUCUUGAGCGCUGUCUCCCGUCCCUGCUGUCUUUUGCUUUGGACGGUAUUGUGUCUACACAAGGAGUCGAGCUGACCUUCCCCCAGAGACCCUGGAGUCUCAAAUGAUCAGAAUUAAUUUAUUCGUGUCUUCCGUUAUGCUUGUAUCUCUUACUUGUUUUGACAAUAAAAAUCCUUACUACUUUCUC